GCCGGGCGUGGUGGCGCACGCCUGUAGUCCUAGCUAUUCAGGAGCCUGAGGCAGGAGAAUUGCUUGAACCCGGGAGGCUGAGGGUGCAGUGAGCCGAGAUCGCGCCACUGCACUCCAGCCUGGGUGACAGAGCAAGACUCCAUCUCGA
Non-coding RNA from Homo sapiens (human), 148 nucleotides. It matches the Rfam family "Metazoan signal recognition particle RNA". From Rfam's summary of the family: The signal recognition particle (SRP) is a universally conserved ribonucleoprotein. It is involved in the co-translational targeting of proteins to membranes. The eukaryotic SRP consists of a 300-nucleotide 7S RNA and six proteins: SRPs 72, 68, 54, 19, 14, and 9. Lineage: Eukaryota; Metazoa; Chordata; Mammalia; Primates; Hominidae. The record is from Rfam.